RNAcentral lists this non-coding RNA (211 nucleotides) under Tannerella forsythia. RNAcentral also lists the same sequence under 1 other name. The record is from RNAcentral. Lineage: Bacteria; Pseudomonadati; Bacteroidota; Bacteroidia; Bacteroidales; Tannerellaceae.
UCCUUUGCCCCCGUCACAGGUGAUUCAUCAUGCGCUCAUGGAUGAUGGAUUGAAAAGGGAAUCCGGUGCGAGUCCGGAACUGUACCCUCAGCUGUAAUUUCAGUAGAAUGGUUCUGCAUUCUUUUUGAUCACUGUAUGCCGCAUCAAUGGCAACGGGAAGAUCGCAAAACCUUGAAAAAGUCAGAAGACCUGCCUGGGCGACUUUUUUUUA